GUCGGGCCUCACAAUCAGGUGUUGCUGCAACUUUGUUUAAAACAAGCCGUUUCAUAUUUCUGGUCUUGCCCUAUUUAAAUCAAGGAGAAGUUUAAAUCAGACUUGAUGAAGAUAGCUAUGACCACUUUGAGUUUAAAAAUACUUUCCCAGGACAAGGAGCAUUUUGCUAAACUAGCUAUAGAUGCUGUCAUGAGGCUCAAGUGGUGCAUGGAAGGAUCAUCCGCCACGUGAGGAAAGCAAUGCGAUUGAAGCUAUCUCAAAAUUAGAUGAAAAAAGAGUCCUUUUGGGUAAAUAUAUUAAACUAAAAAUUUGUGUUAUUUUGCCUAAUCGGUUCCCUGAAGGCUCUCAACAGAUAUUCUGGCCCAUAUAAAUGCCAGAUGGAGAUGGUUUUUCAUGUCCCAACAUAUUUGUUGACUAGGAUUGCUGUAGUGUAGCGGACAACAUUGAUGUUGGUAAUCUAUGCUGUUGUAGUUCUAUUAGCCCCACCAUUAUGUAUGUGUUUUAUCAAGCUGUCCACCCUGUCCACCCAAUUUGCUACUCAUUUUAAUCCAUGAGCCCAAUAUACUAGUUCAUUUUAAUUAUGGACGUUGAAUCACCACAGUUUUCUAGUGUGGUCCACCUGAGAUUUGGAUCUGCCUCAUUUUUGGACUAUUGUCCUAAAAUGAGCUAGAAAAUGAGUGGAAAUCAUGGAUAAAAAAGAUACAUAAUGGUGGGGCCAAAAUACUUUUCCAGCAGCACAACACCUCUCAAAAGUGUAGGUCGGCUGCUUUCUUUUUAUGAAUUUUUAUUUUUCCAAUUAUCAUUCCUGACCUUUUAGGCUUUAAAUAGAGGAAAAACAUCAACACUAACUUAAUUAGUCAAAAUUCCUUAAUUUGCUUGAGAUGAUAUGUGAAGUAGAAUUUUUUUGGUGGGCCACGUUUUGAUAUUUAUCACCGCCAUCGAUUUUGAUGGCUAAAUUGUUUUCACUGAGAAUAAUCUGCU
Long non-coding RNA from Magnolia sinica, 981 nucleotides. RefSeq lists it as uncharacterized. The record is from RefSeq and is a predicted model, not a curated record. The transcript is spliced from 4 exons. Lineage: Eukaryota; Viridiplantae; Streptophyta; Magnoliopsida; Magnoliales; Magnoliaceae.